RNAcentral lists this ribosomal RNA (508 nucleotides) under uncultured bacterium. RNAcentral's name for it is "bacterial SSU rRNA". It matches the Rfam family "Bacterial small subunit ribosomal RNA", at positions 29 to 526 of the family's 1533-position model. The record is from RNAcentral.
AACGAACGCUAGCGACGCGUCUUAAGCAUGCAAGUCGAACGGUAGUCGGAGCUUGCUCCGAUGAGAGUGGCGAACGGGUGAGUAACGCGUGGGUGAUCUGCCUCGAGGAUGGGGAUAGCCGCUAGAAAUAGCGGGUAAUACCGAAUAAGCUUGCCUGGAUUAGCUAGGUAAGGAAAGGCGCAAUUGUGCCACCUUGAGAUGAGCCUGCGUCUUAUUAGCUAGUUGGUAGGGUAAAGGCCUACCAAGGCAACGAUAGGUAGCCGGCCUGAGAGGGUGAACGGCCACAUUGGGACUGAGAUACGGCCCAGACUCCUACGGGAGGCAGCAGCUAAGAAUCUUCCGCAAUGGGCGCAAGCCUGACGGAGCGACGUCGCGUGGGUGAUGAAGGUCGAGAGAUUGUAAAACCCUUUUCUAUGUGAGGAAUAAGGUGGGGAGUGGAACGCCCUGUCGAUGACGUUAGCGUAGGAAUAAGCUCCGGCAAAUUACGUGCCAGCAGCCGCGGUAAAAC